This 23-nucleotide small nuclear RNA is filed under the name Arabidopsis thaliana (thale cress). Its description in RNAcentral is "snRNA_11104". Lineage: Eukaryota; Viridiplantae; Streptophyta; Magnoliopsida; Brassicales; Brassicaceae. The record is from RNAcentral.
UUUAACCCUAAACUCAUUUGAUU